This is a long non-coding RNA of Raphanus sativus (radish), 1479 nucleotides long. RefSeq lists it as uncharacterized. The record is from RefSeq and is a predicted model, not a curated record. Lineage: Eukaryota; Viridiplantae; Streptophyta; Magnoliopsida; Brassicales; Brassicaceae. The transcript is spliced from 6 exons.
GAACUCAUCGUCUCCAUCUCUCCUCCAUAUCUCACGAAAUCAUGGCUUCCACCGGACAACACUCCAAUCUUAGUCAUUCACGGCCAGCUGAGUUAAAUCUCCUGGGUAUCCCAGUUAGAUAGUAUUAAACAGAAACCUACUUCAUCACCUCUCCCGUCCUCUAAAGUCGUCUCCUUUUCUUCUUCCUCUCAGGCACUUUCUCUGCUCGCCUCAAAUCCUGGAGCCAUGGCGGAAAGACUGUAACAAAGCUGAGGUUCUCAAGGAAUGGUUUCUCUGACCAAGCGAAACAUACUUUCAAAAGAUGUCUACCACGUGAUGGCUUGGAUUAGCAUUUCGUUAUACACAUGGAAGGUGCCAUCAUCUUGGAAGUUAGUUAUGGUUCUCUUGUGGCGUGUCAAUAUCCACGACAGUUCAAACUUGGAACAAAAGUUAAAGAGAAAACAAGCUUUACAAGUCUCCCACAAAUCUUGCGACUCCUGCUCUUAUUUCUGGUGGUGCUUGCCGUGGAGGUGGAGCUGGCUGAUCUGAUGAAUGCAUCUUUGCAUGCAUGGAUACAGUUGGCGGUGUAAGAUUGCCUUCCGGAUACUGUGGCAUUCUUGGAUUCAAAUCUUCCCAUGUGACUAUUUGAAACAAAGGGAUCAUGCCAGUAUCUUAUAGUCUUGAUUCUUGGCCCUUGACUCUGUUAAUAUGGAUACAUAUACAUGUGUGAAGUAAACAAAGGGUCAUACCAGUAUCUUGUAGUCUUGACAAUUCGAGCACUAUGAUUCAUGUGACAAAUUGCAUUUUGUAAUAAUUUAAAGGCUAUGUUUAAAAUUUAGGAUUUAAACCAUAAACUUAAAUUAGUGUUUAUAUUUAUAAAGUACCUAUUACAUUUCAAUCUAUAAAAAAUUGUUUUGUUUGUAUAAUUUUAAUCUUAAACCUAAAAUCAAAAUUUCAAUCAUUUUAAAAUCUAAUCUCAAAUUUAAAAUCAAAACCUCAGACACUAAAUUUUAAAUCUAAACCCUAAAUCUAAUACCCUAAACCCCUAAUUCAAACCCUACAUAUAAGUCAAAAAUCAAAUUACUACAAAUAAUAUAAUUACUAAACUUAAACCUAUUCCUUAUAUAAACAAUAACUUUAUCAAUUUCAUUUUAUAAUAUGUAUCUUAAGCACAAUUCUAUUUCACAAACCCUUCAAACCCUAAACCCUCCAUCUUAACCCCAAAUUUGUAAUAUAUACUUAAAAUAUAUAGAACAUUUUAAACUUAAAUUAUAUAUUGUCAAAACAAAAAAAGAUAACUAUAUAGAUCAUAACUUUCAAAUACAAAACUAUAAAUAUAAUGCCAUAAACCACAUACUUUGAACAUCAAACCCUAUAUCAUAAACACUAAUCCUUUCAUUUUAAACAUGUGAUCUUACAAUUUUAAUUUAAACCAUAAAAUAUAAAUAUAAAAUUAACUAAAUACAUACAGAUUAUUUAAAACUAAAUAUCUUUUUCUUA